This 507-nucleotide ribosomal RNA is filed under the name uncultured bacterium. RNAcentral describes it as "partial 16S ribosomal RNA". It matches the Rfam family "Bacterial small subunit ribosomal RNA", at positions 28 to 523 of the family's 1533-position model. The record is from RNAcentral.
GAUGAACGCUAGCUACAGGCUUAACACAUGCAAGUCGAGGGGAAACGACAUCGAAAGCUUGCUUUUGAUGGGCGUCGACCGGCGCACGGGUGAGUAACGCGUAUCCAACCUGCCCACCACUUGGGGAUAACCUUGCGAAAGUAAGACUAAUACCCAAUGAUAUCUCUAGAAGACAUCUGAAAGGGAUUAAAGAUUUAUCGGUGAUGGAUGGGGAUGCGUCUGAUUAGCUUGUUGGCGGGGUAACGGCCCACCAAGGCUACGAUCAGUAGGGGUUCUGAGAGGAAGGUCCCCCACAUUGGAACUGAGACACGGUCCAAACUCCUACGGGAGGCAGCAGUGAGGAAUAUUGGUCAAUGGACGGGAGUCUGAACCAGCCAAGUAGCGUGCAGGAUGACGGCCCUAUGGGUUGUAAACUGCUUUUAUAAGGGAAUAAAGUGAGUCUCGUGAGACUUUUGCAUGCACCUUAUGAAUAAGGACCGGCUAAUUCCGUGCCAGCCGCCGCCGUAA